This 635-nucleotide ribosomal RNA is filed under the name uncultured Pseudomonadota bacterium. RNAcentral's name for it is "bacterial SSU rRNA". It matches the Rfam family "Bacterial small subunit ribosomal RNA", at positions 42 to 666 of the family's 1533-position model. The record is from RNAcentral. Lineage: Bacteria; Pseudomonadati; Pseudomonadota.
GCAGGCCUAACACAUGCAAGUCGAACGGUAGCACAGAGGAGCUUGCUCCUUGGGUGACGAGUGGCGGACGGGUGAGUAAUGUCUGGGAAACUGCCCGAUGGAGGGGGAUAACUACUGGAAACGGUAGCUAAUACCGCAUAACGUCGCAAGACCAAAGAGGGGGACCUUCGGGCCUCUUGCCAUCGGAUGUGCCCAGAUGGGAUUAGCUAGUAGGUGGGGUAACGGCUCACCUAGGCGACGAUCCCUAGCUGGUCUGAGAGGAUGACCAGCCACACUGGAACUGAGACACGGUCCAGACUCCUACGGGAGGCAGCAGUGGGGAAUAUUGCACAAUGGGCGCAAGCCUGAUGCAGCCAUGCCGCGUGUAUGAAGAAGGCCUUCGGGUUGUAAAGUACUUUCAGCGAGGAGGAAGGCGUUGUGGUUAAUAACCGCAGCGAUUGACGUUACUCGCAGAAGAGGCACCGGCUAACUCCGUGCCAGCAGCCGCGGUAAUACGGAGGGUGCAAGCGUUAAUCGGAAUUACUGGGCGUAAAGCGCACGCAGGCGGUCUGUCAAGUCGGAUGUGAAAUCCCCGGGCUCAACCUGGGAACUGCAUCCGAAACUGGCAGGCUAGAGUCUUGUAGAGGGGGGUAGAA